Molecule: ribosomal RNA, 913 nt
Filed under: Candidatus Phytoplasma asteris-related phytoplasma
Lineage: Bacteria; Bacillati; Mycoplasmatota; Mollicutes; Acholeplasmatales; Acholeplasmataceae
Description: bacterial SSU rRNA
Rfam family: Bacterial small subunit ribosomal RNA
Source: RNAcentral
AUAGGUAUGCUUAGGGAGGAGCUUGCGUCACAUUAGUUAGUUGGUGGGGUAAAGGCCUACCAAGACUAUGAUGUGUAGCCGGGCUGAGAGGUUGAACGGCCACAUUGGGACUGAGACACGGCCCAAACUCCUACGGGAGGCAGCAGUAGGGAAUUUUCGGCAAUGGAGGAAACUCUGACCGAGCAACGCCGCGUGAACGAUGAAGUAUUUCGGUACGUAAAGUUCUUUUAUUAGGGAAGAAUAAAUGAUGGAAAAAUCAUUCUGACGGUACCUAAUGAAUAAGCCCCGGCUAACUAUGUGCCAGCAGCCGCGGUAAUACAUAGGGGGCAAGCGUUAUCCGGAAUUAUUGGGCGUAAAGGGUGCGUAGGCUGUUAAAUAAGUUUAUGGUCUAAGUGCAAUGCUCAACAUUGUGAUGCUAUAAAAACUGUUUAGCUAGAGUAAGAUAGAGGCAAGUGGAAUUCCAUGUGUAGUGGUAAAAUGCGUAAAUAUAUGGAGGAACACCAGUAGCGAAGGCGGCUUGCUGGGUCUUUACUGACGCUGAGGCACGAAAGCGUGGGGAGCAAACAGGAUUAGAUACCCUGGUAGUCCACGCCGUAAACGAUGAGUACUAAACGUUGGGUAAAACCAGUGUUGAAGUUAACACAUUAAGUACUCCGCCUGAGUAGUACGUACGCAAGUAUGAAACUUAAAGGAAUUGACGGGACUCCGCACAAGCGGUGGAUCAUGUUGUUUAAUUCGAANGUACCCGAAAAACCUCACCAGGUCUUGACAUGCUUCUGCAAAGCUGUAGAAACACAGUGGANGUUAUCAGUUGCACAGGUGGUGCAUGGUUGUCGUCAGCUCGUGUCGUGAGAUGUUGGGUUAAGUCCCGCAACGAGCGCAACCCUUAUUGUUAGUUGCCANCACGUAAUGG